GAUGAACGCUGGCGGCGUGCCUAAUACAUGCAAGUCGAGCGAACAGACGAGGAGCUUGCUCCUCUGACGUUAGCGGCGGACGGGUGAGUAACACGUGGAUAACCUACCUAUAAGACUGGGAUAACUUCGGGAAACCGGAGCUAAUACCGGAUAAUAUAUUGAACCGCAUGGUUCAAUAGUGAAAGACGGUUUUGCUGUCACUUAUAGAUGGAUCCGCGCCGCAUUAGCUAGUUGGUAAGGUAACGGCUUACCAAGGCAACGAUGCGUAGCCGACCUGAGAGGGUGGUCGGCCACACGGGAGCUGAGACACGGUCCAGACGCCUACGAGAGGCAGCAGUAGGGAAUCUUCCGCAAUGGGCGAAAGCCUGACGGAGCAACGCCGCGUGAGUGAUGAAGGUCUUCGGAUCGUAAAGCUCUGUUAUUAGGGAAGAACAAAUGUGUAAGUAACUAUGCACGUCUUGACGGUACCUAAUCAGAAAGCCACGGCUAACUACGUG
Molecule: ribosomal RNA, 497 nt
Filed under: uncultured bacterium
Lineage: Bacteria
Description: partial 16S ribosomal RNA
Rfam family: Bacterial small subunit ribosomal RNA
Source: RNAcentral